GGAGGCAGCAGUGGGGAAUAUUGCACAAUGGGGGAAACCCUGAUGCAGCCAUGCCGCGUGUGUGAAGAAGGCCUUCGGGUUGUAAAGCACUUUCAGCGAGGAGGAAAGGUUGGCGCCUAAUACGUGUCAACUGUGACGUUACUCGCAGAAGAAGCACCGGCUAACUCCGUGCCAGCAGCCGCGGUAAUACGGAGGGUGCAAGCGUUAAUCGGAAUUACUGGGCGUAAAGCGCACGCAGGCGGUUGGAUAAGUUAGAUGUGAAAGCCCCGGGCUCAACCUGGGAAUUGCAUUUAAAACUGUCCAGCUAGAGUCUUGUAGAGGGGGGUAGAAUUCCAGGUGUAGCGGUGAAAUGCGUAGAGAUCUGGAGGAAUACCGGUGGCGAAGGCGGCCCCCUGGACAAA
Molecule: ribosomal RNA, 401 nt
Filed under: uncultured Aeromonas sp.
Lineage: Bacteria; Pseudomonadati; Pseudomonadota; Gammaproteobacteria; Aeromonadales; Aeromonadaceae
Description: bacterial SSU rRNA
Rfam family: Bacterial small subunit ribosomal RNA
Source: RNAcentral